AUGUGGAAGGAAGAUGACCCCAGGUGGCCAGGAGCAGACCAGCUAGAGAGAGAUGAAUAUGUUCAACAUCUAAAAGGAGAGAGGGCCUCGUGGCAGCAGAGGGUGUGGAAAAUGUCAGAGGAGGUUUGCACAUUGAAGGAGGAGAAGAAGCAUGACAUGCAUCGGGUACAGGAGAUGGAGAGGAUCUUGGCUGAACUCAAAAGCUAGAUGGCUGAACCCCUGCCCCCAGAGCCCCCAGCAGGGCCCUCUGAGGUGGAACAGCAGCUACAAGCUGAGGCCGAGCACCUGAGGAAGGAGCUGGAGAGUCUGGCAGGACAGCUCCAAGCUCAGGUGCAAAACAAUCAAGGCUUGAGUCACUUGAACUGGGAGCAGGAGGAGAGGCUGCUGGAACAGGAGCGGAAAGCCAAGCUCUGGGAGGAGCAGGCAGAGAUGCGCAUGCAGACCCCGCGGAACCGCACCACCAUCAACCGCGCGCUCUCUCAGAACCGGGAGCUGGACUAGCAGCUGGCUGGGCCACAGAGCUGCUUAGAGGAGCUGAACAAUGAGAAUAAGAGUGCACUGCAGUUGGAGCAGCAAGUAAAGGAGCUGCAGGAGAAGCUGGGCAAGCUGAAGGAGACCGUGGAGCUGAAGAGCCAAGAGGCUUAGAGUCUGCAGCAGCAGGGAGAGCAGUCCCUGGGUCACCUGCAGCAGUAAGUGGCUCCCUAUCAGCGGCUGACCUCUGAGAAGGAGGCGCAGCAUAGGCAGUUACUGCUGCACACCCAGCUCAUGGACCAGCUGCAGCAGCAGGAAGCUCAGGGCAAAGCAGUGGCUGAGGUGGCCCACUAAAAUUUGCAGGAGACCCAGGAGCGCCUGGAAGGUACCAGCCAGCAGAACCAGCAGCUACAGGCCCAGUUGAGCCUCAUGGCACUCCCUAGGCAAGGAGAUGGAGGAGAACAUCUGGACAACGAGGAAGAGGAGGUGCCUUGGCCCAUGCUGAGCAUCCCAGAGGACCUGGAAAGCAGGGAGGUAAUGGUGGCAUUUUUCAACUCCACUGGAGCCAGUGCCCAGGAGGAGCAGGCAUGGCUAUGUGGGAAGCUGAAGGAGCUGAAGGAGCCAGUGCCCAGGUGCAGGCAUGGCUAUAAGGAGCCAGAGGCAGUGGAACCCGCCCCAGGGACUGGGGAUGAGUCUGUGUGUGGGUAGACCCAUCAGGCCCUGCAGGGGGCCAUGGAGAAGUUGCAGAGCGGCUUUAUGGACCUCCUGAAGGAGAAGGUGGACCUGAAGGAGCGGGUGGAGAAACUGGAGCUUCUACCCAUCCACCUCUCAGGAGAGACAGACACCAUCAGAAAGUACAUCACAACAUAUUAGAGCCAGAAGGCAGCGCCAAAGACGCGGCACCAGGAGGAGGAGGACAUCAUCAGCGUGGCAGCUGAGCACCCCUCCCUUCAGGUGAAACUGCUGGAGCUGCAGGAGCUGGUGUUGCAGCUUGCAGGCGAUCACAACGAGGGGCAUGGCAAAUUCCUGGCCGCUGCCCAGAACCCUGCUGAUGAUCCUGCUCCAGGGGCCCCAGCCCCUCAGAAGCUUGGGGCUGCUGACAAGCAGGGUGAUUUUUGUGAGGUGAGCCGACAGCCUGGAGCCUGCCCCAGGAGAGGCCAGGGAGGGUUGUCCCCAUGACAGCCCCACUGCACAGCAGCUCAUGCAGCUGCUUCCUGAGAUGCGGGACCCCCAGGAGUACCCAGGCUUGGGCAGCAGCCCCUGCAUGCCAUUCUUUUACCAGGCUGCCAAGAACAGGGAGCUAAACACCACCGUCAUCUAA
Molecule: RNA transcript, 1792 nt
Organism: Pongo pygmaeus (Bornean orangutan)
Lineage: Eukaryota; Metazoa; Chordata; Mammalia; Primates; Hominidae
Gene name: golgin subfamily A member 2-like
Exons: 15
Source: RefSeq, a predicted model, not a curated record